This 463-nucleotide ribosomal RNA is filed under the name Streptococcus sp. oral taxon 064. RNAcentral's name for it is "bacterial SSU rRNA". It matches the Rfam family "Bacterial small subunit ribosomal RNA", at positions 28 to 474 of the family's 1533-position model. The record is from RNAcentral. Lineage: Bacteria; Bacillati; Bacillota; Bacilli; Lactobacillales; Streptococcaceae.
GACGAACGCUGGCGGCGUGCUAAUACAUGCAAGUAGAACGCUGAAGAGAGGAGCUUGCUCUUCUUGGAUGAGUUGCGAACGGGUGAGUAACGCGUAGGUAACCUGCCUGGUAGCGGGGGAUAACUAUUGGAAACGAUAGCUAAUACCGCAUAAUAGUAGAUGUUGCAUGACAUUUGCUUAAAAGGUGCGAUUGCAUCACUACCAGAUGGACCUGCGUUGUAUUAGCUAGUUGGUGAGGUAACGGCUCACCAAGGCAACGAUACAUAGCCGACCUGAGAGGGUGAUCGGCCACACUGGGACUGAGACACGGCCCAGACUCCUACGGGAGGCAGCAGUAGGGAAUCUUCGGCAAUGGACGGAAGUCUGACCGAGCAACGCCGCGUGAGUGAAGAAGGUUUUCGGAUCGUAAAGCUCUGUUGUAAGAGAAGAACGAGUGUGAGAGUGGAAAGUUCACACUGUGACG